UGAGCAAUCUGCCCUUCUCAUCGGAAUAAGCGUUGGAAACGACGUCUAAUGCCGAAUACGACCUCCUUUCGCAUGAUCGGAGGUGGAAAGCUCCGGCGGAGAAGGAUGAGCUCGCGGCCUAUCAGCUAGUUGGUGUGGGUAAUGGCCCACCAAGGCGACGACGGGUAGCCGGCCUGAGAGGGUGACCGGCCACACUGGGGCUGAGACACGGCCCAGACCUCCUACGGGAGCAG
Molecule: ribosomal RNA, 233 nt
Filed under: uncultured bacterium
Lineage: Bacteria
Description: partial 16S ribosomal RNA
Rfam family: Bacterial small subunit ribosomal RNA
Source: RNAcentral